RNAcentral lists this ribosomal RNA (733 nucleotides) under uncultured bacterium. RNAcentral's name for it is "bacterial SSU rRNA". It matches the Rfam family "Bacterial small subunit ribosomal RNA", at positions 147 to 882 of the family's 1533-position model. The record is from RNAcentral.
CCUUUCGAAAGAAAGAUUAAUAUCCGAUAGUAUAUUAAAACCGCAUGGUUUUACUAUUAAAGAAUUUCGGUUAUCGAUGGGGAUGCGUUCCAUUAGUUGUUUGGCGGGGUAACGGCCCACCAAGACUACGAUGGAUAGGGGUUCUGAGAGGAAGGUCCCCCACAUUGGAACUGAGACACGGUCCAAACUCCUACGGGAGGCAGCAGUGAGGAAUAUUGGUCAAUGGACGAGAGUCUGAACCAGCCAAGUAGCGUGAAGGAUGACUGCCCUAUGGGUUGUAAACUUCUUUUAUAUGGGAAUAAAGUAUUCCACGUGUGGGAUUUUGUAUGUACCAUAUGAAUAAGGAUCGGCUAACUCCGUGCCAGCAGCCGCGGUAAUACGGAGGAUCCGAGCGUUAUCCGGAUUUAUUGGGUUUAAAGGGAGCGUAGGUGGAUUGUUAAGUCAGUUGUGAAAGUUUGCGGCUCAACCGUAAAAUUGCAGUUGAAACUGGCAGUCUUGAGUACAGUAGAGGUGGGCGGAAUUCGUGGUGUAGCGGUGAAAUGCUUAGAUAUCACGAAGAACUCCGAUUGCGAAGGCAGCUCACUAGACUGCAACUGACACUGAUGCUCGAAAGUGUGGGUAUCAAACAGGAUUAGAUACCCUGGUAGUCCACACAGUAAACGAUGAAUACUCGCUGUUUGCGAUAUACAGUAAGCGGCCAAGCGAAAGCAUUAAGUAUUCCACCUGGGGAGUA